UACACAUGCAGUCGAACGGUNAGANGNGCCCNNUCGGGGUACACGAGUGGCGAACGGGUGAGUANACACGUGGGUGAUCUGCCCUGCACUUCGGGAUAAGCCCGGGAAACUGGGUCUAAUACCGGAUAGUACUGCGCGGUGCAUGCCGUGUGGUGGAAAGAUUUAUCGGUGCAGGAUGGGCCCGCGGCCUAUCAGCUUGUUGGUGGGGUAAUGGCCUACCAAGGCGACGACGGGUAGCCGGCCUGAGAGGGCGACCGGCCACACUGGGACUGAGACACGGCCCAGACUCCUACGGGAGGCAGCAGUGGGGAAUAUUGCACAAUGGGCGCAAGCCUGAUGCAGCGACGCCGCGUGAGGGAUGACGGCCUUCGGGUUGUAAACCUCUUUCAGCAGGGACGAAGCGCAAGUGACGGUACCUGCAGAAGAAGCACCGGCCAACUACGUGCCAGCAGCCGCGGUAAUACGUAGGGUGCAAGCGUUGUCCGGAAUUACUGGGCGUAAAGAGCUCGUAGGCGGUUUGUCGCGUCGUCUGUGAAAACCAGCAGCUCAACUGUUGGCUUGCAGGCGAUACGGGCAGACUUGAGUAUUUCAGGGGAGACUGGAAUUCCUGGUGUAGCGGUGAAAUGCGCAGAUAUCAGGAGGAACACCGGUGGCGAAGGCGGGUCUCUGGGAAAUAACUGACGCUGAGGAGCGAAAGCGUGGGUAGCGAACAGGAUUAGAUACCCUGGUAGUCCACGCCGU
This 741-nucleotide ribosomal RNA is filed under the name unidentified microorganism. Its description in RNAcentral is "bacterial SSU rRNA". It matches the Rfam family "Bacterial small subunit ribosomal RNA", at positions 50 to 803 of the family's 1533-position model. The record is from RNAcentral.